Molecule: long non-coding RNA, 2148 nt
Filed under: Canis lupus familiaris (dog)
Lineage: Eukaryota; Metazoa; Chordata; Mammalia; Carnivora; Canidae
Description: lncRNA (ENSCAFG00845024874.1)
Source: RNAcentral
ACAAUAGAUUUUUGUAUAUUGUUGUAUCCUGCCACUUCACUGAACUUGUUUAACAGCUAUAAUUUUUGUGUGUGUGGAUUCCUUUAGGAUUUUUCUAUUUAUAAGAUUAUGUCACAUGCAAUAUCAUUUUGCGGCUUCUUCUCCAAUCCAGAUGACUUUUAUUCCUUUUCUUGAUUAAUUUCCCUGAUUGGAAGCCCAUCCCAAUAUCGUAAUAUUGAAUAGCAGUGAUGAGAGCAGAUAUCUUUGUCUUGUUCCUGAUCCUAGAGAUGCAAGCUUUCAUUCAUUCACUGAGUUUUUUUGUUGUUGUUUGUUGGUUUGUUUGUUUAAAGAUUUUAUUUAUUUGAGAGGGAGAAAGAGAGAGAGAAAGUGAGCCCAAACAGGGACAGUGGCAGAAGGAGAGGGAGAAGCAGGCUCCCCACUAAGCAGGAAGCCUGACAUGGGGCUUGAUCCUAGGUCUCCAGGAUCAUAACCUGAGCUGAAGGCAGACACUUAACUGACUGAACCACCCAGGUGCUCUAGUCUGUCACUGUUAAGUGUGAUUUAGUUGUGGGGUUUUCAUGCCUUAAAUGUUAAUCUUAUCCAGUGACACCCUCAAUAGAUACAUCUAGAAUAUUAACCAAAUGUCUGGGCACUUCAUGGUCUAGUCAAGUCAAUAAAAUUAACCAUCACAUCAGUUAUCACUGUAACAAAACAAUACAAACAUAUAAAAGAUACAAAUCAUCUCCUUUCAUUCCUUCUUCUCAUCACUCAUCUUUUCUACAGUAUUCCCCUUUUCAUCCCCAGAGAAUGCUUUUAUAUAUAUAUAAAAGUUCUUUCCAUAUUUUUCUCUAUGCUUUUAUAAGCACACAUAUCUCUCUCACACACACACACACACACACACACACACACACACUUGUGCUAACAUUUCCUUUCCCCAAAAAAGGAAUAAUACUAAAUUCAGAAGUUUGCACUUUGAAAGCAUAACAACAAGAACAGUAGAAAGUAUAUCUUUCUGGAGAAAGAAGUUCUAUAUACCUUAUUCUUCCUAUUACACACUCAGUAUAUAAAAUACUGUAAGAUUUAAUGGGAUACCCAACAGAUAAAUUUCUAAAAAUUUAAAAUUAAUGAAAAGAUUUCCAUAUGGUUUUACAGACUCUCCAUUCCUUGAACACACUUAGACCCAUGCAACAUAUCCUUUCAAUAGGAUAAAGUAGAUUUUUAAUAUAUCUUUAUACCUAACAUCAUCAACUAAUUAUAGAUAAGAAAUAAAAAUUUAACUUCUAUGAAGUUCAUUUUCUGCUGUAAUUAUUAAUAAUGUAAAGCAGGAUCUAAAAAUAGAUUACCUGAAUCAAAAGAAUUACAGCUCCAAAAGAAAGCACAUAAUUAAAAAUGAUAAAGCCUGCAUAGUUAAUAGUCCCAUACAUGUCUAGAACUGAUUAGGCAUGGAAAAAAAUUCUAGUGCCUUGAAAACAAUCCCCCACACCUAGUCUUCACUUUCUCUCGACAAGCAUUUUGCUUGGCAAGAUCCUACCCAUCCCACGAUGCUCAAUUCAACUGUCACAUUCUGUGAGAUGCUUUCCUUCAAUGACCCGCCCACCAUUAAAUUAGUCAUUUCCACAUUUGUGCUUUGGUGGCACUCUCCUGACACUGACAUUAUCCCGGUUAAUCCCACUGUGAGUGUCAUUUGGGUUUGAGUUUAUCUUGUUUCCUAAGCUGUCAGCAAAAUGUGGGAAGGUCCCAUGUGGUCCCUAUUCCUUUGAACACACAUGAAUACACACAUAUACACAAAUGCACAAACACACAUACAUAGAGCAAGAUAGGGAACUUGUCGGUCAAUUCCACUAUUUCUAUCCUCCAUUCUUUCCAUUAUAUCUUUCCUUUAACUUUUAUAUAUCUGGCUUUCCCUAAGUGUAUUUGUUCUUUUAUAACUUGAAUGGAUUGUUUUAUAUGUCUAUUUGUCUCACUGGUUUAAUACAGAAAAUAUUUAAGGUUUUAAAUUUGCUUCUUCAUAAAGUUUUGGCAGAAAAAUAAAAUAUUUUAUUGUAAGCCAUUCCAGUUGGCAUUACUGUCAGGCAAUUCUGUAAUGUCAGUUUUAAUUUCUCCUUUGACCAAAGAGGUUUUUAGAGGAUAUUUUCAUUUAUUUGCUUUUUGAGGUCAAAAUGGUGGGGC